UUGAUGUACCUUUCUCCUUGAAAACCGUGGUUUUCUAAAGCUUUACAUGCUGAAAACCCCCCUUUUUGGAAGCGCUGUAUUUAUUAAAUUAAAAACCAAUCGAGCUUGCUCGUUACCUUGGGGAUUCAGAAUACCGAAACGAAUCGUAGGACUUCAUGUCGACGAUGAUUCAUUCAAAUUUCUGCCCUAUCACCUUUCAAGGGUAAGGUAUUGCCUUACCAUGGUUACAACGGGUGACGGAAAAUUAGGGUUCAAUUCCGGAAAGGGAGCCUGAAAAACGGCUACCACUUCUACGAAGGGCAGCAGGCGCGCAAAUUACCCAAUCCUGACUCAGGAGGAAAUGACAAAAAAUAACCAUACCUGACUUCGGUCUUGUAAUCGGAAUGAGUACAAUUUAAACCCCUUAACGAAUUCCAUUGGAGGGGGAGUCUGGUA
This 435-nucleotide ribosomal RNA is filed under the name uncultured marine eukaryote. RNAcentral describes it as "bacterial SSU rRNA". It matches the Rfam family "Eukaryotic small subunit ribosomal RNA", at positions 121 to 566 of the family's 1831-position model. The record is from RNAcentral.